RNAcentral lists this transfer RNA (52 nucleotides) under Actinomyces sp. S6-Spd3. It matches the Rfam family "tRNA", at positions 1 to 49 of the family's 71-position model. Rfam says of the family: Transfer RNA (tRNA) molecules are approximately 80 nucleotides in length. Their secondary structure includes four short double-helical elements and three loops (D, anti-codon, and T loops). Lineage: Bacteria; Bacillati; Actinomycetota; Actinomycetes; Actinomycetales; Actinomycetaceae. The record is from Rfam by way of RNAcentral.
GGGCCUAUAGCUCAGUCGGUUAGAGCGCUUCCCUGAUAAGGAAGAGGUCGCU